RNAcentral lists this unclassified non-coding RNA (224 nucleotides) under uncultured fungus. RNAcentral describes it as "sequence contains ITS1, 5.8S rRNA gene". The stretch from base 176 to 224 matches the Rfam family "5.8S ribosomal RNA", at positions 1 to 49 of the family's 154-position model. Lineage: Eukaryota; Fungi. The record is from RNAcentral.
UCUCCGUAGGUGAACCUGCGGAGGGAUCAUUACUGAGUGAGGGCUCCGGCCCGACCUCCAACCCCAUGUGAACCGAAACCUGUUGCUUCGGGGGCGACCCUGCCUUCGUGCGAGGCGCCCCCGAAGGUCUCCCAACACUGCAUCUUUGCGUCGGAGUUUAAAACAAAUGAAACAAAACUUUCAACAACGGAUCUCUUGGUUCUGGCAUCGAUGAAGAACGCAGC